CCUACGGGUGGCAGCAGUGGGGAAUAUUGCGCAAUGGGCGAAAGCCUGACGCAGCGACGCCGCGUGAGGGAUGAAGGUCUUCGGAUCGUAAACCUCUGUCAGCAGGGACGAACGGUCACUGUGCUAAUCAGCAGUGAAUUGACGGUACCUGCAAAGGAAGCACCGGCUAACUCCGUGCCAGCAGCCGCGGUAAUACGGAGGGUGCGGGCGUUAAUCGGAAUUACUGGGCGUAAAGCGCUCGUAGGCGGUAUUGCAAGUCAAGGGUGAAAUCCCCGCGCUCAACGUGGGAACUGACGUUGAAACGGGAAAACGUGAGUGUGUGAGGGGAUAGUGGAAUUCCAGGUGUAGGAGUGAAAUCCGUAGAUAUCUGGAGGAACAUCAGUGGCGAAGGCGAGUAUCUGGCACAUAACUGACGCUGAGGAGCGAAAGCGUGGGUAGCGAACAGGAUUAGAUACCCGGGUAGUC
Molecule: ribosomal RNA, 465 nt
Filed under: uncultured bacterium
Lineage: Bacteria
Description: partial 16S ribosomal RNA
Rfam family: Bacterial small subunit ribosomal RNA
Source: RNAcentral